AACAGCUAUAAUGUACUUGAUCUUGAUUAUCCAAACAUGGAUAACUGUGGCAAUUCUAGAGCUAAUACAUGCACCAAAGCUCCGACUUUUGGACGAGCGCAUCUAUUAGAUUAAAACCAAUCGGGCUUAACGGCCCGCCAUAAUGGUGACUCUGAAUAGCUCUGGCUGAUCGCAUGGUCUUGUACCGGCGACAUAUCUAUCAAGUGUCUGCCUUAUCAACUUUCGAUGGUAGUUUAUGUGCCUACCAUGGUUGUAACGGGUAACGGAGAAUAAGGGUUCGACUCCGGAGAGGGAGCCUGAGAAACGGCUACCACAUCCAAGGAAGGCAGCAGGCGCGCAAAUUACCCACUCUCGGCAUGAGGAGGUAGUGACGAAAAAUAACGAGACCGUUCUCUUUGAGGCCGGUUAUCGGAAUGGGUACAAUUUAAACCCGUUAACGAGGAUCUAUGAGAGGGCAAGUCUGGUGCCAGCAGCCGCGGUAAUUCCAGCUCUCAAAGUGUAUAUCGUCAUUGCUGCGGUUAAAAAGCUCGUAGUUGGAUCUGCGUCUUAGGACCUGGUCCGUCCAUUGGACGUGAACUAGGCUCCUAGACUAAAAUUAUGCCAGUUUUCUUUACGUUACCUUGAUCGGUUGCGUAAGGUUGCCGGCGAGUUUACCUUGAAAAAAUUAGAGUGCUCAAAGCGGGCUUUUAUGCCUGAAUACUCGUGCAUGGAAUAAUGAAAUAGGAUCUCGGUUCUAUUUUGUUGGUUUUCUGAUCUGAGAUAAUGGUUAAGAGGGACGGACGGGGGCAUUCGUAUCGCUGCGUGAGAGGUGAAAUUCUUGGACCGUAGCGAGACGCCCGACUGCGAAAGCAUUUGCCAAGAAUGUCUUCAUUAAUCAAGAACGAAAGUCAGAGGUCGG
Molecule: ribosomal RNA, 898 nt
Filed under: Spirocerca sp. SDC-2023
Lineage: Eukaryota; Metazoa; Nematoda; Chromadorea; Rhabditida; Thelaziidae
Description: SSU rRNA
Rfam family: Eukaryotic small subunit ribosomal RNA
Source: RNAcentral